GAUGAACGCUGGCGGCGUGCUUAACACAUGCAAGUCGAACGACGCCCUUUAUUUGAUUUCCUUCGGGACUGAUUAUUUUGUGACUGAGUGGCGGACGGGUGAGUAACGCGUGGGUAACCUGCCUUGUACAGGGGGAUAACAGUUGGAAACGGCUGCUAAUCCCGCAUAAGCGCACAGCAUCGCAUGGUGCAGUGGGAAAAUGUCCGGUGGUAUACGAUGGACCCGCGUUGGAUUAGCUAGUGGGUGAGGUAACGGGCCCCCAAGGCGACGAGCGAUAGCCGAGAUGAGAGGGUCGCCGCCCACACUGGGACUGGGACACAGUCGGGACUCCUACGCGAGGCAGGAGAGGCGGAUAUAGCAAUACCGCGGAAAGGAUGAUGCAGCUAGGGCGGGUGAGCGAAGAAGUAUUUCGGGAUGUACAGCUCGAUCAGCCGGGAAUAUAAUGACGGUACCUGACGAAGAAGCACCGGCUAAAUACGUG
Molecule: ribosomal RNA, 481 nt
Filed under: uncultured bacterium
Lineage: Bacteria
Description: partial 16S ribosomal RNA
Rfam family: Bacterial small subunit ribosomal RNA
Source: RNAcentral